RNAcentral lists this ribosomal RNA (682 nucleotides) under uncultured bacterium. RNAcentral's name for it is "bacterial SSU rRNA". It matches the Rfam family "Bacterial small subunit ribosomal RNA", at positions 62 to 743 of the family's 1533-position model. The record is from RNAcentral.
UCGAACGGGGUUUAUAUGACGGAACUCUCCGGAGGGAAGAUAUAUAAACCUAGUGGCGGACGGGUGAGUAACGCGUGGGCAACCUGCCCUGUACCGGGGGACAACAGCCAGAAAUGGCUGCUAAUACCGCAUAAGCCUGCUGUGCCGCAUGGCACAGCAGGGAAAACCACGGUGGUACAGGAUGGGCCCGCGUCUGAUUAGUUAGUUGGCAGGGUAACGGCCUACCAAGACAACGAUCAGUAGCCGGCUUGAGAGAGUGGACGGCCACAUUGGGACUGAGACACGGCCCAGACUCCUGCGGGAGGCAGCAGUGGGGAAUAUUGCACAAUGGGGGGAACCCUGAUGCAGCAAUGCCGCGUGGGUGAAGAAGCACUCCGGUGCGUAAAGCCCUGUCAGCAGGGAAGAAAAUGACAGUACCUGGACAAGAAGCCCCGGCUAACUACGUGCCAGCAGCCGCGGUAAUACGUAGGGGGCAAGCGUUAUCCGGAUUUACUGGGUGUAAAGGGAGCGCAGGCGGCGUGGCAAGUCAGAUGUGAAAACCCGGGGCCCAACCCCGGGAGUGCAUUUGAAACUGCCAUGCUGGAGUGCCGGAGAGGUAAGCGGAAUUCCUAGUGUAGCGGUGAAAUGCGUAGAUAUUAGGAGGAACACCAGUGGCGAAGGCGACUUUCUGGACAGUAACUGA